This 82-nucleotide microRNA precursor is filed under the name Ovis aries (sheep). RNAcentral's name for it is "miRNA (ENSOARG00000023627.1)". The record is from RNAcentral. Lineage: Eukaryota; Metazoa; Chordata; Mammalia; Artiodactyla; Bovidae.
UAUUGGGUUGGCCAAGAAGUUCAUUUGGGUUUUUCAUAAGAUGUUAUGGGAAAACUCAAAUGACCUUUUUGGCCAAUCCAGU